Molecule: long non-coding RNA, 142 nt
Organism: Octopus sinensis (East Asian common octopus)
Lineage: Eukaryota; Metazoa; Mollusca; Cephalopoda; Octopoda; Octopodidae
Exons: 3
Source: RefSeq, a predicted model, not a curated record
UGUGCUCUUCAGAUCUGGUAUAUGUAAUAAAUGCAGAAAUACAUACAUGUGUAUACCUCCUCACAAACACUCUUUCAUAACACCUUCCUAAAACACACAUGCACUAACAUCCCACACCCCUACUAACCUUCACCACUACACU